RNAcentral lists this ribosomal RNA (847 nucleotides) under Pleurotheciella fusiformis. RNAcentral describes it as "SSU rRNA". It matches the Rfam family "Eukaryotic small subunit ribosomal RNA", at positions 58 to 914 of the family's 1831-position model. The record is from RNAcentral. Lineage: Eukaryota; Fungi; Ascomycota; Sordariomycetes; Pleurotheciales; Pleurotheciaceae.
UCCAGGUAUAAGCAAACACAAAGUGAAACUGCGGAAUGGCUCAUUAUAUAAGUUAUCGUUUAUUUGAUAUUGCCUAUCCUACAUGGAUAACAGUGGUAAUUCUAGAGCUAAUACAUGCUGAAAAUCCCGACUUCGGAAGGGACGUAUUUAUUAGAAUCAGAACCAAUGCCCUUCGGGGUUUUCUGGUGACUCAUGAUAACUCCACAGAUCGCAUGGCCUUGCGCCGGCGAUGGCUCAUUCAAAUUUCUUCCCUAUCAACUUUCGACGGUACGGUCUUGGCCUACCGUGGUUGUAACGGGUGACGGAGGGUUAGGGCUCGACCCCGGAGAAGGAGCCUGAGAAACGGCUACUACAUCCAAGGAAGGCAGCAGGCGCGCAAAUUAUCCAAUCCCGACUCGGGGAGAUAGUGACAAUAAAUACCGAUACAGGGCUCUUUUGGGCCCUGUAAUUGGAAUGAGUACAAUUUAAACCUCUUAACGAGGAACAAUUGGAGGGCAAGUCUGGUGCCAGCAGCCGCGGUAAUUCCAGCUCCAAUAGCGUAUAUUAAAGUUGUUGUGGUUAAAAAGCUCGUAGUCGAACCUCGAGCCUGGCCGGCCGGUCCGCCUCACCGCGUGCACUGGUCUGGCCGGGCUCUUCCCUCUGCGGAACCGCAUGUCCUUCACUGGGCGUGUCGGGGAGGCAGGACUUUUACUUUGAAAAAAUUAGAGUGCUCAAGGCAGGCCAAUGCUCGAAUACAUUAGCAUGGAAUAAUAGAAUAGGACGUUGGUUCUAUUUUGUUGGUUUCUAGGACCGCCGUAAUGAUCAAUAGGGACGGUCGGGGGCAUCAGUAUUCAGCCGUCAGAGGUGA